Molecule: ribosomal RNA, 186 nt
Filed under: uncultured Staphylococcus sp.
Lineage: Bacteria; Bacillati; Bacillota; Bacilli; Caryophanales; Staphylococcaceae
Description: partial 16S ribosomal RNA
Rfam family: Bacterial small subunit ribosomal RNA
Source: RNAcentral
AACCGGAGCUAAUACCGGAUAAUAUAUUGAACCGCAUGGUUCAAUAGUGAAAGACGGUUUUGCUGUCACUUAUAGAUGGAUCCGCGCCGCAUUAGCUAGUUGGUAAGGUAACGGCUUACCAAGGCAACGAUGCGUAGCCGACCUGAGAGGGUGAUCGGCCACACUGGAACUGAGACAACGGUCCAG